Molecule: long non-coding RNA, 589 nt
Organism: Aplysia californica (California sea hare)
Lineage: Eukaryota; Metazoa; Mollusca; Gastropoda; Aplysiida; Aplysiidae
Exons: 2
Source: RefSeq, a predicted model, not a curated record
UCGUUAGCCCGUCGCGGGAACACAAAGGGGGCAUCACUUUCAACACGGGCCGACAAAUCGCCGAAAACGACAAGAGUUGCCGUUCGCGAUCAGAUAAGAGACGUUUCACACUCUCGAGGGAUCACACUUUUGUAUUGUCCAGCCCUUGUUCGAAGGGAGGAAACUACCUCGUUCCUUCAUCCCUCGGCUGCCCGUUCUGUCUGUCUCUCUCCGAGUUUCAUACCCAGGAAGGAAAAAAAAAAGUGACAACUGCCGGUAGACAUUUUGGAAAACACCAGGAGGACACAAUUCGCUAAACAUGUCCCAGAAAAUACAAACAUCAUGUGUGUACGUCUUUGUGGAUAUAAAUUACAUGUAGUAUGUAUGGACGCUUUCUAAUAAGUGACGGUGGAAUGUUUCCUUUUUCGGUGCCCUUGUAGACGAGUAAAAGAAGGCAGAAGCCCCUGGAGAGAAAAAAGAGGCAACUCAUUUUGGGAUAAACGGCAAAAAGUGAUUGUCACAGACACAUUGUGCAACGCCAGGCCUCAAGACACAGAAGAGUUCUACACAGAUUCGGGCACACAAAACUGUCACAGAAAACGGAAGCAGU